GACGAACGCUGGCGGCGUGCCUAAUACAUGCAAGUUGAGCGAUGAAGAUUGGUGCUUGCACCAAUUUGAAGAGCAGCGAACGGGUGAGUAACGCGUGGGGAAUCUGCCUUUGAGCGGGGGACAACAUUUGGAAACGAAUGCUAAUACCGCAUAAUAACUUUAAACAUAAGUUUUAAGUUUGAAAGAUGCAAUUGCAUCACUCAAAGAUGAUCCCGCGUUGUAUUAGCUAGUUGGUGAGGUAAAGGCUCACCAAGGCGAUGAUACAUAGCCGACCUGAGAGGGUGAUCGGCCACAUUGGGACUGAGACACGGCCCAAACUCCUACGGGAGGCAGCAGUAGGGAAUCUUCGGCAAUGGACGAAAGUCUGACCGAGCAACGCCGCGGGAGUGAAGAAGGGUUUCGGAUCGUAAAACUCUGUUGGUAGAGAAGAACGUUGGCGAGAGUGGAAAGCUCAUCAAGUGACGGUAACUACCCAGAAAGGGACGGCUAACUACGUG
Molecule: ribosomal RNA, 497 nt
Filed under: uncultured bacterium
Lineage: Bacteria
Description: partial 16S ribosomal RNA
Rfam family: Bacterial small subunit ribosomal RNA
Source: RNAcentral